This 1074-nucleotide long non-coding RNA is filed under the name Daucus carota (carrot). Its description in RNAcentral is "long non-coding RNA (DCAR_LNC006412)". The record is from RNAcentral. Lineage: Eukaryota; Viridiplantae; Streptophyta; Magnoliopsida; Apiales; Apiaceae.
UUGGGGUUAUUCUGUUUUUAAUAUAUACUUGGUGGCUUGGAUUAUUGGUCUCUAAUAGUUCUGGUAUGCUGGUUGUUUUGCUAUAGUUUUUGAAGAAGGAAGUUGUUAUUUUGUUGGCUCUUUGCUGACUGGUGCGGCUGGCUUAUGUGGGGAUCUAGUGUAGAUUGCUUUUAUUUGUAGAUUAGUUGUGUGCGGAAGUGGCAUUGUCUUUGUGUUUUCGAAAUUUCUAGUCAGAUCUGGUGCUUGAAGAAUUCUGUUAUGAGUGUUCCUGUGGAGGAGUAUUUUUAAUUCUUGGCAGGGAGUUUUUGGUUGCUUUAGAGGUCUGGUAUGGAAGUUAUUCUCAUUCUUGCUAUGGCUGGGUUGUUCUGGGUCUCGUGUUCUUGUUGCUGCUGUGAUUGAGUUCUGCAAAUCGAGAUAUUUUUGGCUGAUUUUAGGAGAAUUUUUAUUUUUAGUCAUAUUGAUUAUUUGUUUGUUGUGGCAGUUGCAGUUUCGACAAGUCCAGGGGCGUUGUUGCUUGGGUGUUUCUAGUUUUGUGUAUUUUCUGCAUGUUGUGUUUUUUCAGUGGAGUUGGCCGUGGGUUUCGGGUAGAAUGCUAGUGUGCAUCCAGAGUGUUUUAGUGAAUUGUUUUGUGGCACUCGGCUUGUUUUCAGUUCUUUAUUGUUGGGAUGGUGUAUGUUCUGCAGGUUGGAGUUUUAUUGUUUUCUCUGGGAAGACUUGCCUGCUGUGCUUGGUAGUCGUUUAUUUAAAUUAUUUCAGCUGCUUUUGUCUCCUCUGGGAGUCUAAUGUUGAGGGUUUUAAUGUUAAUCAAUUCUUCUGCUCCAUUUUAUGCUUCCGAGGCUGCUGCUAUUUUAUUGAUUGGGGUUCAGGAGUUGGUGUUUUAUUUGUAAAUCAAUGUAUCUGGUUCAUAAUUUAGGUGGUAGCUCCCUUGAUUGAUUUAGAGGUGGAGCAGCUGUGUGGGAGGUCUAGCACUCAUAAUCAGUGGAGUGAUUGCUUUUUAUCUAUCUGGAGGUGUUCGCUUGUGUUCAUCUGGUUGGCUUUUUUUUUUCUUUUCUCCGUUGGAGGCUUUGUAUUUUC